This 315-nucleotide unclassified non-coding RNA is filed under the name uncultured fungus. Its description in RNAcentral is "sequence contains ITS1". The stretch from base 1 to 104 matches the Rfam family "5.8S ribosomal RNA", at positions 50 to 154 of the family's 154-position model. The record is from RNAcentral. Lineage: Eukaryota; Fungi.
GAAAUGCGAUACAUAAUGUAAAUUGCAGAAAUCAGUGAAUCAUCAAAUCUUUGAACGCACAUUGCACCUGAAGUAUUCCUUCUGGUACAUUUGUCUGAGUGUCCUUUUCUAUUAUUCUAUCUUAUGAUUCUAUAUUAAUCAUUUGAUGUUGAUAUGCAUGCAUUUGUUAUGUAUAUUUAAAGUUAUAUGAUAAUAUCUUUUUCGUUUUGUUGGUAAAUUAUUAUCUCUUUUUUUUAUAUCAGUAUAUUAUCAAAUAAGGAUUUUCAUUAUUUAAAUAAAGACCUCAGAUCAAAUGGCAUUACCCGCUGAAUUUAA